UUGCUGUGUUUAUAAAUCUCAGGGGGUGGGGGAUAUUAAUUCUAGGGAAGAGAUUCUGCAGUGAGGAAAUUGUGUGCAGAUGCAGAUGAAAUCAAAUUGUAAUCCUUUGGGAAAAUCUGAUGUGUAAGUGCUCCCUGUUCUGGAUGUGCCAAUUCAAUGGCAUACACACUUUUUGUAUAUAAUGUAAUGCAAGAAUAAGAAACUUAAGACACAUUUAAAGAGGGAAAGAAGGGUGGAGCUCCUUGGCAACAGCCCUAAUCCCUUUGAAGGCUCUGGCAUCUGCUGAGUCAGGCACUCCCUCCCUAUGUUUCAGUUUACAAUCAGCCACUGAGUCACAGCAAGUUCCUGACUUCCCUGUUGGAACUACACUGUCAUGAACUACAGUUGCAUAUUUUUAGGGAUUGGAUACUUUUAUUUAAUCUCUUUGUUUUUGUUGUUGUUGCUCAAUUAUAAAUAAACAAAUUUUGAAUAAAUAAAUUAAAAGGGGAAAAAAAAGAGUUCUGAGCUCUCAGCUCUGAGUACAGCUGCAAGAGGCUUGUUCUCAUAAAUGCUGUCCUCGAGCCACAAAGCACACUUCAUUCUUUGGGAAGUCCUUGGAGCUGGAGAAGCAUUUUGGAGAGCAGCCAUGGGAUCCUCACAUGAAGCAUCUGGAGCAGAAAGUCUCAGCACUGGUUGAAAGAACGCACGUGUUUUGUACCACUGAAUUUCACGUUGCUGCUCUCCUGCCAGUGCUCUGGAUCAUCCCUGCAUGCCUCUGCUCCAAUAUCCCAGUCCCAGCCUGGAUGCUGAUACUGCCCACGAAAUGUCAGUGUCUGACCCCACUGGCAGACUAGUGAACAUAUAGCUGUACACACAGGUGUACACAAAGUUGUUUCUUGAAUCUAUCUGCUCCUGAGAUAAAUUUUAAAUAACUAACCAACUAACCAGAAAAAAAAAUAAAAAACACAAACAAAAAAACCA
RNAcentral lists this long non-coding RNA (960 nucleotides) under Junco hyemalis (dark-eyed junco). Its description in RNAcentral is "lncRNA (ENSJHYG00000017557.1)". The record is from RNAcentral. Lineage: Eukaryota; Metazoa; Chordata; Aves; Passeriformes; Passerellidae.